GUACACUCCUACGGGAGGCAGCAGUGGGGAAUUUUGGACAAUGGGCGAAAGCCUGAUCCAGCAAUGCCGCGUGAGUGAAGAAGGCCUUCGGGUUGUAAAGCUCUUUUGUCAGGGAAGAAACGGUGAAAGCUAAUAUCUUUUGCUAAUGACGGUACCUGAAGAAUAAGCACCGGCUAACUACGUGCCAGCAGCCGCGGUAAUACGUAGGGUGCAAGCGUUAAUCGGAAUUACUGGGCGUAAAGCGUGCGCAGGCGGUUUUGUAAGUCUGAUGUGAAAUCCCCGGGCUCAACCUGGGAAUUGCAUUGGAGACUGCAAGGCUAGAAUCUGGCAGAGGGGGGUAGAAUUCCACGUGUAGUAGUGAAAUGCGUAGAUAUGUGGAGGAACACCGAUGGCGAAGGCAGCCCCCUGGGUCAAGAUUGACGCUCAUGCACGAAAGCGUGGGGAGCAAACAGGAUUAGAAACCCCAGUAGUCCCAUG
RNAcentral lists this ribosomal RNA (477 nucleotides) under uncultured organism. RNAcentral's name for it is "partial 16S ribosomal RNA". It matches the Rfam family "Bacterial small subunit ribosomal RNA", at positions 331 to 799 of the family's 1533-position model. The record is from RNAcentral.